UGUAUAAUAAUAAUAAAUAAAUAUCUAAGUUUAAGUGUAUCAUUUACAAUGAUAAGAUGUUUUUAACUU
Molecule: transfer RNA, 69 nt
Filed under: Nipponaphis monzeni
Lineage: Eukaryota; Metazoa; Arthropoda; Insecta; Hemiptera; Hormaphididae
Description: tRNA-Val
Source: RNAcentral